This is a long non-coding RNA of Athalia rosae (coleseed sawfly), 676 nucleotides long. RefSeq lists it as uncharacterized. Lineage: Eukaryota; Metazoa; Arthropoda; Insecta; Hymenoptera; Athaliidae. The record is from RefSeq and is a predicted model, not a curated record. The transcript is spliced from 3 exons.
UUAAGAAAAAAUCUGACCGCGAAAAUCAUAUUUUAGAAAAAAGUUUUAAUUCUAAGUGCACUUUAAUUGAAUUUAUAAAUCGUUUACUUAUUGUACGUGUAGCAAGGCACAAAUGCUCAGUUGCCGAACAGAGUUCAUACUGACUUCUAUAAAUAAUUCAGUUGAGUCUGGAGGGAGAAGAGAGAGACAUGCCUUUUACUUUUACUUUUUAACGUUUUGGCAGGCUGCCAUUUAGCAUAAGCAUGCAUCCAUUUAAGAAACCAAGUCUUCUCAGGAAAUAUGUUAAAUAUUUUUAGAUUUAACUAUUUUUAUCAAAGUGCUCCGUGGGUGUCAUUCAUAAUAUUGUUACUUAUUCUUCGGAGUCUACAAGCUCAUGAAUUUUCAAAAUUAUCUACCAAUUAUCAAAAUUCCAAUACAGUAACAUUUUUUUGCACCACGGCAUAUUCGGGCAGCGGAGAUUCUUGAUUUUUUUGCGCACCAGCAAUUGUUGAGUUUUUAGCUGAUGGCGCAUUUGGACCUUUCUGCACAAUGGCAUACUCAGUUUUUAUCAAAUUUAUCAAACUUUCCAAAUCCUGGUCUGGGCCUCAAUCUAUCCACCGCCGCUUCCGGUCCAUGGCUGUGCCCAUUCUCAAAAUGACGCUCUGCAUUCAAAGCAGGCACACUUGCACUCCAAUUA